UACAGAGGGUGCAAGCGUUGUCCGGAAUCACUGGGCGUAAAGGGCGCGUAGGCGGCCUGAUAAGUCGGGGGUGAAAUUCUGCGGCUUAACCGCAGGACGGCCUUCGAGACUGUCGGGCUUGAGCACGGUAGAGGCUGGUGGAAUUCCCGGUGUAGCGGUGGAAUGCGUAGAGAUCGGGAAGAACAUCGGUGGCGAAGGCGGCCAGCUGGGCCGACACUGACGCUGAGGCGCGAAAGCCAGGGGAGCGAACGGG
RNAcentral lists this ribosomal RNA (253 nucleotides) under uncultured bacterium. RNAcentral describes it as "partial 16S ribosomal RNA". It matches the Rfam family "Bacterial small subunit ribosomal RNA", at positions 524 to 776 of the family's 1533-position model. The record is from RNAcentral.